Molecule: long non-coding RNA, 918 nt
Organism: Drosophila montana
Lineage: Eukaryota; Metazoa; Arthropoda; Insecta; Diptera; Drosophilidae
Exons: 2
Source: RefSeq, a predicted model, not a curated record
CUCAAAUACAACUCUGUUAAAUAGCUUUAUUUUUAUGAAAUUAACAUCACAUUGGCCUUGGCUAAACUUUUUGAAAUAUGCAAGCUGGACGUGAAAACAUUUCAGUUAUUUUCAUAAGUUUUUAUCGAAGUUAAGUUUUAAGCAUUUUAAAUAAUAAUACUCCAAAUUGAUUGUUUUUUUAAUUCAAGCCAUGGCUUCUCUCGAAUCCGUCCUUGUCGCUGGCCUGGUGCAUCUCUUCUUUCGCUUUGCCUUAUAUAUUUCGCCACAGUCCACGUUAAUGACGCCCGGCCCGACAUUGCCCACAAUAAUUGUCGGUGUGGCUAUAUUGGAUCUGAUCUAUGAUUACCGCAUCGUUCCCUUGAGCAUGUGUAAGAGGGCACGGGGCAUCAAGUAUAUUUGUGAGUGUUUGGUGGCAAUCCUUUUCCUGGAGGUGUGCAUGCUAAUAUUCUGGCAUACGAUCGAGCAUCUUGUUUACUUAAUUGUCAAGAUGUUGUUGUUGGGAAUGGAUAUUGUCAGCCUCGAUUACUAUUAUCGACAUGAAACUCUCCUAAUUGGAUCGUUCACAUUGCCGAUAUCUUUGGUGAUUCUGGCCAUGGCAGCGAGGACUACCAACCAUUUAAAGACGCUUUUUCGUCGUUAUAUGUCGCCCCAGACACAUGUCUACCUCCGGUUGGACAAUACGGUUCGCUUUCUGAGACAUACCGAUCGGUACAAGAAUAUUAGGUUCAGAGAGGCUUUCGAGAAAUACAAUUCGGCUGACAACGAUCCCCAACGUAGAUCCGUAUGGGUGAAAUACUUUCAGAAUUAUACGUAGGUAAAAUAUAUACAUGAUUUGGCUUUCAUUAAAUUGUUUUGUACUUUUAUACAAAAGAUUUUUAUUAAAUUACAUAUUACUUGUCAUAUGUGUAUACAUAAUAA